Molecule: ribosomal RNA, 251 nt
Filed under: uncultured bacterium
Lineage: Bacteria
Description: partial 16S ribosomal RNA
Rfam family: Bacterial small subunit ribosomal RNA
Source: RNAcentral
GCAAGUCGAGGGGUAGUUUGUGCUUGCACGAACUGGAGACCGGCGAACGGGUGCGUAACGCGUAUGUAACUUGCCUUAAACAGGGGGAUAGCCCGGAGAAAUUUGGAUUAAUACCCCAUAGUAUCGUUAAAAGGCAUCUUUUUUCGAUUAAAGAUUUAUUUUGGUUUAAGAUAGACAUGCGUCCUAUUAGCUAGAUGGUGAGGUAAUGGCUCACCAUGGCUACGAUAGGUAGGGGUCCUGAGAGGGAUGUC